This 358-nucleotide ribosomal RNA is filed under the name uncultured bacterium. RNAcentral's name for it is "bacterial SSU rRNA". It matches the Rfam family "Bacterial small subunit ribosomal RNA", at positions 29 to 412 of the family's 1533-position model. The record is from RNAcentral.
AACGAACGCUGGCGGCAUGCCUAACACAUGCAAGUCGAACGAGACCUUCGGGUCUAGUGGCGCACGGGUGCGUAACACGUGGGAAUUUGCCUCGGGGUAUGGAAUAACUCAGGGAAACUUGAGCUAAUACCAUAUAAUGUCUUCGGACCAAAGAUUUAUCGCCCUGAGAUAAGCCCGCGUAGGAUUAGCUAGUUGGUGGGGUAAAGGCUCACCAAGGCGACGAUCCUUAGCUGGUCUGAGAGGAUGAUCAGCCACACUGGGACUGAGACACGGCCCAGACUCCUACGGGAGGCAGCAGUGGGGAAUAUUGGACAAUAGGGCGGAAAGCCUGAUCCAGCAAUGCCGCGUGAGUGAUGAA